UACGUAGGGUGCAAGCGUUGUCCGGAAUUAUUGGGCGUAAAGGGCUCGUAGGCGGCCAACUAAGUCAGACGUGAAAUCCCUCAGCUUAACUGGGGAACUGCGUCUGAUACUGGAUGGCUUGGAUUCGGGAGAGGGAUGCGGAAUUCCAGGUGUAGCGGUGAAAUGCGUAGAUAUCUGGAGGAACACCGGUGGCGAAGGCGGCAUCCUGGACCGAUAUUGACGCUGAGGAGCGAAAGCUAGGGGAGCAAACAGG
This 253-nucleotide ribosomal RNA is filed under the name uncultured bacterium. Its description in RNAcentral is "partial 16S ribosomal RNA". It matches the Rfam family "Bacterial small subunit ribosomal RNA", at positions 524 to 776 of the family's 1533-position model. The record is from RNAcentral.